GGUUCUUUGAGUCAGUUUUUCCGGGACAGUGCUGUUUUCUCACACCUGCAGACCGCGGGCACGUGGGAAAACAGGAAACGGGAUGGCUGUUGGGGGUAGCUACGAUCUUUGGAAUGACUGUCGUCUCAAAUUCUAAAACCCUUUGGGAAGUGCUGGUCCUGAGCGUGGAUGCUCGGCAUGGUUAACGACAGGCGUGCCUGGACCUUGUGUAGUAUACCUUCCUCUCCCCGGCUUGGAGACAGGGUCAGGCAUGAGAACCUGCCUCACUGGCCUGGAGCCGUGUUUACCUGACCGACUUCGGAUAAGGUUCACCCUACCACCUUUGUGUCCUUACCGCCAAAAGAAAACAGAAAACCACAUGUAUUCCAAGUUCAAUUUGUGUUGCCCAUAUUUUCAUUGGAGCAUAGUCAAACUCCCAGUGGCCAACUCCUUAAAGAUAACUGAGGCCUUUUGCCCAUGCCAGAAGCCAUCAACUGUGAGGAGCUACACUUCAGCAUCCCUGUCACAAUUUUUGAGGACUCUUCAAUGGCUUUCUGUCUAGACUAUUUCUUUUGUGGGGAGCAGCGGGUUGUCACAGAAACCUUCAAUAUCUCUUGCUCUCAGUUAUGAGUCUACAGUCGUCGACACCAUUGCAAAAGAAACUUCCUUGCCCAUAAGCCCAUAACAGCCAGGAACAACAUAGAACACAGACCUCAACAUGGUCCCCAGUGACAUCAUGGCCAGAUUACAGAUACCAAAGGACAGCCACAUGGCCUCUGGCAUUAAUGUGGACCAAGGACACCAACAUGGCCUCCGGAGGCAGUGUGGACAUGGAAGUCUUUUGAGGAGGCCCAAUCCAGAAAAUGAAUCCUUCUCCACCGUGGACUUCGUGCUGUUGCUCACGGGAGGGCAAUUGCACAUGCAGCUGCAAGGCAUGUUGAGGGGCAGAGGCUCUGUGAGCUCCAGACUGCUGCACGCUACCCUGCCUGCACUCCUCAGGAUGACAUGCUCCUUCCAUCCACAGCAGCCAUGCUUCCACACCUGCUGUCAGCACCGUCUAGUUCUGCCUCUCUCUGACAUAUGCAUGCCACUCUGUUCACCAGCCUUCCCACGCUCCAGCUCACGUUCAUUCAUUGAAGUGGCUUUGCAAGCUGCACUGUGUUACACAGUGUAUGUUUUUUCCCAAACAGCAUUACAUACAAAUACUUGUUGCAACAAUUCACUGGUCUGUUUCAAGGUUUCUGGUUUCUGAAGCACAAAUACUGAACUGUUGCUGAGACUAGCCCCAGAUAACCUGUUGCCCAGAGUCAGGGUGAUCUUGCAUCUGCUCCGGGCAUCUGAAGGUAGGAUCCAAAAAGAGCUUUAUUCAAUGCCCGACUCUGUGUCCGCCCUAACAUCUUCCCAACUUGAUGGUCAAACCCUUUAGUUCAAAAUAUAAAAGUAGAACUUAAAAAGAAAUAGACUCACUAAAGAAAACACAAACCGGACAAAAACACCUUCAGAAGUAUGCCUCAUCAACAGAUUAAGACAUGGGAGAGAAAAUUUCAAUUCUGAAGACAAGGUAGAAUGGAUAGCUUAGUUAAAGAAAAUGUUAAUUAUGAAAAAUAAAGGCAUAAAACACCCAGAAAAUCUGGGUUGUAUAAAAAGCAAGUUAAGUAGACUAGUAAACAGCAUCCUCCACAGUCUCUGCUUUAUUUCCUGCCUCUGUGUUCCUAUUUGAGCUCCUGACCUGACUUCCCUUGGUGGUGGACUCUAUCCUGUACAACAUAAUAAACCCCUUCCUCUGUAA
This is a long non-coding RNA of Mesocricetus auratus (golden hamster), 1768 nucleotides long. RefSeq lists it as uncharacterized. The record is from RefSeq and is a predicted model, not a curated record. The transcript has 2 exons. NCBI's taxonomy places the organism in Eukaryota, Metazoa, Chordata, Mammalia, Rodentia, Cricetidae.